GUCUGUGGUGUAAAGGUUAAUCAUGGCUGCCUUCCAAGCUGUCGAUCCAGGUUCGAUUCCCGGCAGAAGCA
This 71-nucleotide transfer RNA is filed under the name Dreissena polymorpha. It matches the Rfam family "tRNA". From Rfam's summary of the family: Transfer RNA (tRNA) molecules are approximately 80 nucleotides in length. Their secondary structure includes four short double-helical elements and three loops (D, anti-codon, and T loops). Further hydrogen bonds mediate the characteristic L-shaped molecular structure. tRNAs have two regions of fundamental functional importance: the anti-codon, which is responsible for specific mRNA codon recognition, and the 3' end, to which the tRNAs corresponding amino acid is attached (by aminoacyl-tRNA synthetases). tRNAs cope with the degeneracy of the genetic code in two manners: having more than one tRNA (with a specific anti-codon) for a particular amino acid; and 'wobble' base-pairing, i.e. permitting non-standard base-pairing at the 3rd anti-codon position. The record is from Rfam by way of RNAcentral. Lineage: Eukaryota; Metazoa; Mollusca; Bivalvia; Myida; Dreissenidae.